UACGUAGGGUGCGAGCGUUAAUCGGAAUUACUGGGCGUAAAGCGUGCGCAGGCGGUUCGUUAAGUUCGAUGUGAAAGCCCCGGGCUCAACCUGGGAACUGCAUUGGAAACUGGCGAGCUUGAGUAUGGCAGAGGGGGGUGGAAUUCCGCGUGUAGCAGUGAAAUGCGUAGAGAUGCGGAGGAACACCGAUGGCGAAGGCAGCCCCCUGGGCCAAUACUGACGCUCAGGCACGAAAGCGUGGGGAGCAAACGGG
Molecule: ribosomal RNA, 253 nt
Filed under: uncultured bacterium
Lineage: Bacteria
Description: partial 16S ribosomal RNA
Rfam family: Bacterial small subunit ribosomal RNA
Source: RNAcentral